AGACAAGGUCUCGCUCUGUUACCCAGGCUGGAGGAGUGGAGACUGAGGAGCCAGGUGGCGGCGACGCCUUAAGAGUGAGAACUCUGAGGGGGUAGUGAAGGUUAAGGGCUGCAUUUGUGGGGCUGCUCCAGGUUCCAUUGCCUGAGCCACCGAACUCAGGAGAGAGGGAAGAUUUGGAAUUAAGAAAAUAAAAGAUGCAGUUAUGACAGUGCGAUCUCGUAGACUGUCCCCACUAGAACCUGACACUCUUUACAUCAAAUGACACACAAUGAACAUAAUGAAGGCCUGUUGGCCCUGGGCGCUGGUCACCCUGGACAGAACCUCCAGAAUCCACACCAUAGUCGGUCCUCCUUCUGCACACGAAUUCCAUCGUCCAAGGUCACGGAGUAAAAGAUGGAGCGGGGAUCCGACCCCAGUGCAGGGCUGGACUCCUGGCCGCUCCAGGAUGCUGCCAGUUACUGGGGGACGCGCGGGACGCCUCUGGGUUCCCCCACCGCACCCCCUAGGGUGAGGUUAGCUUAGCACCGUGCCCGUUCCGCCUAAGGGGAAACUGAGGCUCGGAGAGGGGUGGGCAGCCGCCUGCUCAAGGCCAC
This 593-nucleotide long non-coding RNA is filed under the name Homo sapiens (human). RNAcentral describes it as "non-protein coding lnc-LSM7-3:1". Lineage: Eukaryota; Metazoa; Chordata; Mammalia; Primates; Hominidae. The record is from RNAcentral.